RNAcentral lists this ribosomal RNA (254 nucleotides) under uncultured bacterium. Its description in RNAcentral is "partial 16S ribosomal RNA". It matches the Rfam family "Bacterial small subunit ribosomal RNA", at positions 79 to 334 of the family's 1533-position model. The record is from RNAcentral.
CUUUCUUUGCUGGCGACCGGCGCACGGGUGAGUAACACGUAUCCAACCUGCCCUUUACUCGGGGAUAGCCUUUCGAAAGAAAGAUUAAUACCCGAUAGCAUAAUGAUUCCGCAUGGUUUCAUUAUUAAAGGAUUCCGGUAAAGGAUGGGGAUGCGUUCCAUUAGGUUGUUGGUGAGGUAACGGCUCACCAAGCCUUCGAUGGAUAGGGGUUCUGAGAGGAAGGUCCCCCCCAUUGGAACUGAGACACGGUCCAA